AGUGAACGCUGGCGGUAGGCCUAACACAUGCAAGUCGAACGGCAGCACAGUAAGAGCUUGCUCUUACGGGUGGCGAGUGGCGGACGGGUGAGGAAUACAUCGGAAUCUACUUUUUCGUGGGGGAUAACGUAGGGAAACUUACGCUAAUACCGCAUACGACCUACGGGUGAAAGCAGGGGAUCUUCGGACCUUGCGCGAUUGAAUGAGCCGAUGUCGGAUUAGCUAGUUGGCGGGGUAAAGGCCCACCAAGGCGACGAUCCGUAGCUGGUCUGAGAGGAUGGUCAGUCACACUGGAACUGAGACACGGUCCAGACUCCUACGGGAGGCAGCAGUGGGGAAUAUUGGACAAUGGGCGCAAGCCUGAUCCAGCCAUACCGCGUGGGUGAAGAAGGCCUUCGGGUUGUAAAGCCCUUUUGUUGGGAAAGAAAAGCAGCAGGUUAAUACCCCGCUGUUCUGACGGUACCCAAAGAAUAAGCACCGGCUAACUUCGUG
Molecule: ribosomal RNA, 492 nt
Filed under: uncultured bacterium
Lineage: Bacteria
Description: partial 16S ribosomal RNA
Rfam family: Bacterial small subunit ribosomal RNA
Source: RNAcentral